ACACAUGCAGUCGAGCGGUAGCACAGAAGAGCUUGCUCUUUGGGUGACGAGCGGCGGACGGGUGAGUAAUGUCUGGGAAACUGCCUGAUGGAGGGGGAUAACUACUGGAAACGGUAGCUAAUACCGCAUAACCUCGCAAGAGCAAAGAGGGGGACCUUCGGGCCUCUCGCCAUCAGAUGUGCCCAGAUGGGAUUAGCUAGUAGGUGAGGUAAUGGCUCACCUAGGCGACGAUCCCUAGCUGGUCUGAGAGGAUGACCAGCCACACUGGAACUGAGACACGGUCCAGACUCCUACGGGAGGCAGCAGUGGGGAAUAUUGCACAAUGGGCGCAAGCCUGAUGCAGCCAUGCCGCGUGUGUGAAGAAGGCCUUCGGGUUGUAAAGCACUUUCAUCGAGGAGGAAGGCGGUAAGGUUAAUAACCUUAUCGAUUGACGUUACUCGCAGAAGAAGCACCGGCUAACUCCGUGCCUGAGCCGCGGUAAUACGGACGAGGCACUCGUU
RNAcentral lists this ribosomal RNA (500 nucleotides) under Pectobacterium carotovorum subsp. carotovorum. RNAcentral describes it as "bacterial SSU rRNA". It matches the Rfam family "Bacterial small subunit ribosomal RNA", at positions 51 to 542 of the family's 1533-position model. The record is from RNAcentral. Lineage: Bacteria; Pseudomonadati; Pseudomonadota; Gammaproteobacteria; Enterobacterales; Pectobacteriaceae.